RNAcentral lists this ribosomal RNA (434 nucleotides) under Vigna lobatifolia. Its description in RNAcentral is "eukaryotic LSU rRNA". The stretch from base 283 to 434 matches the Rfam family "Eukaryotic large subunit ribosomal RNA", at positions 1 to 152 of the family's 3401-position model. The record is from RNAcentral. Lineage: Eukaryota; Viridiplantae; Streptophyta; Magnoliopsida; Fabales; Fabaceae.
CUCGAGUCUUUGACGCAAGUUGCGCCUGAAGCCAUUAGGUUGAGGGCACGCCUGCCUGGGUGUCACACAUUGUCACCCCAAUGCAAAUGUGCAUUGAGGUGAAAGUUGGCUUCCCGCGAGGCAUUCCUCGUGGUUGGUUGAAAACGAAGUUAAUCGCGAAGUCCCUCGUCAUAAAUGGUGGAUGAGUAAAUCUCGAGACCAAUCGUGACUGUGGUACUUUGGGGAUGUAAUUGGUUGGCUCUGUUGUGUUUUCCGUUCAUGUUGAAGAAGACGCUUUUAUCGAGACCUCAGGUCAGGCGGGGCUACCCGCUGAGUUUAAGCAUAUCAAUAAGCGGAGGAAAAGAAACUAACAAGGAUUCCCCUAGUAACGGCGAGCGAACCGGGAAUAGCCCAUCAUGAGAAUCGAUCGCCUUCGGUGUUCGAAUUGUAGUAGA